RNAcentral lists this ribosomal RNA (450 nucleotides) under uncultured bacterium. RNAcentral describes it as "partial 16S ribosomal RNA". It matches the Rfam family "Bacterial small subunit ribosomal RNA", at positions 338 to 795 of the family's 1533-position model. The record is from RNAcentral.
CCUACGGGCGGCUGCAGUGAGGAAUAUUGGACAAUGGAUGGAAAUCUGAUCCAGCCAUGCCGCGUGCAGGAAGACGGCCCUAUGGGUUGUAAACUGCUUUUGUGUGGGAGCAAUAAGGUCUAUGCGUAGACUGAUGAGAGUACCAUACGAAUAAGCAUCGGCUAACUCCGUGCCAGCAGCCGCGGUAAUACGGGGGAUGCAAGCGUUAUCCGGAUUUAUUGGGGCGUAGGCGUUCGUAGACGGUUUGGGUGAAAUAUUUCGGCUUAACUGAAAGGGUGCCGUUGAUACUGUCAGGCUUGAAUAUGGUUGCGGUGGGUGGAAUGUGUGGUGUAGCGGUGAAAUGCUUAGAUAUCACACAGAAUAUCGAUUGCGAAGGCAGCUCACAAAGCCAUUAUUGACGCUGAUGCACGAAAGUGUGGGGAUCAAACAGGAUUAGAUACCCGAGUAGUC